GUCUGCCAAAGCACCUGAGCUCCACCCACAGAACUGACACCUGAAUCCUGUUAUUCCCCACAAACACACAGCUUUGGAGAAAGCUUCCAAGAAACAGCUGACCACAAGGAUGAAACUCGUGUGGGAGGAAGAGGGAGCAUGCUUGGCAGCUGGCCUCCAACGCAGGAAUCGCUGCCACAGGAGGACAGAGAAUAUUUUGUGGCAGCUCAGCUUAUCAUGCAUUUUUGUGCAGACCCUUCCAGUUUCUCAGUGAUGUUCUGUCUGCUUGAAUGGCUGUCCAUGUGUGCUUGGUCCAUGUCUGAGAUAAGGACUGCACCCAGCUUGCACCUGCUUUCUGGUGCUGCCUCUUGGGCUUCCCUGCUUGCAGGGAGCAAAGAUGCAGUGAGUCUGAGCACAGAGAACAAGAUGACUUCUCCAGCAGGAACCACAGACCCGAUCAUCUUCUUUCACUGCACACCCAUUGCUGUCAUAAUUUCCCCUACUGCAAAUAAGAGAGCUGUCUGGUCUCACGUGUUCAUGUAG
RNAcentral lists this long non-coding RNA (522 nucleotides) under Anser brachyrhynchus (Pink-footed goose). RNAcentral describes it as "lncRNA (ENSABRG00000020420.1)". The record is from RNAcentral. Lineage: Eukaryota; Metazoa; Chordata; Aves; Anseriformes; Anatidae.